Equus asinus (donkey) is the source of this 1681-nucleotide long non-coding RNA. The record is from Ensembl. Lineage: Eukaryota; Metazoa; Chordata; Mammalia; Perissodactyla; Equidae.
GGAAGCUGUUUUCCAUUUCGGUUUCCAUACCCUUAGAAGGAAUAGUGCUGAAGGGGUAGGAGUGUAGGAUUUGGAGUCAGAAGUCCUGGGUUCUUGGCCUCACUCUGCCCGUUAUUAGCCAUAUGAGCCUGAGCAAAUCCUUUAAAAUGGCUUGAGCCUCAGUUGUUUGUUAAUCUAUGAAAUGGGGAUGUUAAUAUCUCCCUUAUUUAUCUCACUUAUCCAUUUAAAACUAGAGUUUCAUAGAGUGGGUCUUGUUGCAGGGACUUCAUUGUUUUUCUCUUUUGUGAAAGGGGCCAUUAGACUAUGAACUCCACCAGGGCAGGAACCUUUGUGUUUCCCCUUCCUCUUAGCCACACACCCAUAGCGUCAGGGUCUCCCAUAUGAAAUUGUGUUCAUGGGUGAGGGCUGUCUCUAUGGUGCCAAAGCCACAGCUUGACCUUGCCUAACUUUGUGACUGAGAUGAAGCAGCAAGCAAGCUUAUCAAGGGGAAGAUAACAUAAAUCUAAAAGGAAGGUAUAAUACCUGAAGAUCACAGAAUCAAGAUUAAAAAUUAUCUUGACAGGCUGUGGCCCUGAGUUGGAAACAUUAAGAUGAAACUUAACUGAGAUAAGAAAAGGUUCCUCAUUUAAGUUUAAUAUUUAAGAAUAAUAGCUAACAUUUAUUGAGCAUUUAUUUGGUAGGCAUCCUGAUACAUACAUGUGUUAUGUAAUUUUAUGACAGUUGGAUGAGGUAGAUACCAUUAAUUAAAGAUGGGGAAGUUAAAGUAAGGGUCCAGGAUUGCUUAGCCAUUAAGUGGUGAAACCAGGAUUCCAACACCUGAGGGUUCCAAAGGACACACUCAACUGCCAUGGCUCACAAAAUUAUGCCCUCACCCCUCAAGAUGUCCAUGUCCUAAUCCCCAGAACCUGUAAAUGUGUAACCUUCAUGGCAAAAGGGACUUUGCAGGUGUGAGUAAAUUAAUUGACUUUCAGAUAGGGAAAUUAUCGUGGAUUAUCCAGGUGAGCCCAGUCUAAUCACAUGAGUCCUUAAAAGUGAAAAACUUUCCUAUCUGCAGUGAGAGAGGAAAUAGGAGGAGAAGGAGAGAUUCUAAUUAUGAGAAUUCGACCUGCUGUUGCUGGCUUUGAAGAUGGAGGAAGGAGGCCAUGAGUCCAGGAAUGUGGGUGACCUCUAAAAGCUGGAAACAGCCAUCAGCCGACAACCAGCAAGGAAAUAAGGAUCUCAGUGCUACCAUUGCUGCAAACUGAAUUCUGCCAACAGCCCAAGUGAGCAAGGACACAGAUUCCCCCCUAGAACCUCCAGAAAGGAACAUACCCUGCUGACACCUUUAUUUUAGCCCAGUGAGACCAAGUAUCUAUUCUUCUAGAUCAAUUUAAGGAUCAACUUGUUAAGUUUAAAAAGAAAAUAGCCCUGAGAGUGACAUCAGCAUCAUGGCAGAGUGAACUUUAUCAGUAAUCUUCCCCCUCCAACAUACAACAAAAAAAAACAUCUAUACUCCAACAGAGGACAUCCAGACAUAACACAAAUAACGGAGAGACACAUGCAGCCAUACAAUGGAGGGCGGAGAAGCUGGAGCCCCCCUUGGAGGAGGUGGAAUGGGGUAAGAGGAAACUUGACUCUCUCCGCUAAAGACUGCAAUCUGGGACUGCCAGACGCCUCUGAGAGGGAAGGAACUGGGGAGGGG